Molecule: long non-coding RNA, 1835 nt
Organism: Neogobius melanostomus (round goby)
Lineage: Eukaryota; Metazoa; Chordata; Actinopteri; Gobiiformes; Gobiidae
Source: Ensembl
AGCAUAUGAAAAAACAUCAAUUACAACAUCACAAAGUGGUUUAAUAGUGGUAGUAUUUGUAUAUUACUUACCUGGGCUAUAACUAAAGCUAAAAGCUAAAGCUAACACUGUUUUAUGUUCAGUAGGAAAAAGCCCUUGGUAUCGCAGACUGGGUGGGGGUGUAACCGAGGUACCGAACACACACGUUAAACACUAUUAUAUCAUCUAACAUCAUUUCUGGAUCAUUCAAAAGUUUUCCAGAUUUUUUAUGCCCAAAAAUCCAGAGAAAUGUUGCGCAUGUCUGGACUCUUCGCCUCUGCUCCGUUUCUGGUCGGACGCCCAUAGCUGAUGGACCGUUGCUAUGGGAACACUUUGAGCUAACGAAGCUAACCGGAGGUUAACGAAGAUAAAAUACUAUGAAUAUAAAGGUCUGCCAGGGUCUAUCGGAGGAUUUAUGGAUUUAAAGACUUCCGAGAGAGCGGUGGAAUAAUAGGUUUGACAGAUAUGAAGGCCACGAAGUGAGAAAAACGAGGCGAAGUGACGAACAAUAACAUAUUAAUAACAUAAACGGUUUACUGCGGUCCCGCUGGGCUCAGCAUUUCUACUGCAGUCACAUCUAACUGGACUAUCAUCAGGAAUAAACCAGGUUGGAUCAUGUCUUCCUCUGCUCUGGCCCUGUUCCCAUGGCGACCCCCGACCCCACGUUGACCCCAGACCCUCCGUCCCGCUUCAGCAGCGCCCCCCCCUGGCCGCCAAAGCCCUGAGUGACGCCUUUGCAGGGAUGCGGUACCGCGACACGUCUUUCCUGGUGUGGAGCCAGCAGCAGCUGCAGGCCACGCCCCUCACUCCUACCUCAGCCGCUCACAGCAGGCCUGGUACAGUAACCACGGCAACCAGCCUGUCCUAGUGCCCGAGCGGGGCGUGCGCCCACAGACCGAGUCCCGGAUCUGCUCCCUACAGUAGAACCUCAUGGCGGGAGCUGACUUUGCUGCAAUACCACCCCCUGGUGGUCAGAGGCCACUCCAAAAGACACUUUUCAAAACAGAUUCCAAUGGCGUUUAUGCACCUCCCUUGCACUGCUUAAAAGCCUGGCUCCAAAGAGUAAGCCCAAGAAUCAGCGCAGGAGUUGACCAUCCGUGACAUGGAAAACCCAAAUGUGCUUAGUGUACUUUACACUGUAUGAAAACAACUGGCUCAGCAGUCGAGCAUUUCCAAAGGUUUCUACAGUCCAAUUUGUAGCAUUGAAACUGCAUUUUUUAAUGCAAUUUCAAUGCCACAAAAUGUAUGCACACUGGAAAAAAUAAAAUGUAAGUAGUUUUCCUCUAGUCUUAGAUAAAAUAGAAAGUCUUAUCACAUAUACUGGAACAAGCACAUUCUUUCUUAAUUCAGAUUAUUUUGUAUUAUUUCAAGUGAAAAAUAAUAUUUUUUAAAUGUAAAAGUCAAUUAUCUUAUUCCAAGUGGUAUUCAUACUUGAUCUCAACUUUGAUAAGAGAUCAAAAAUUAAAAAGUCACAGAAAUCUUUUGUGGGAUGGGAUCUUUCUGGGAUGCGGUACCGCAUGUUUUGAACCAUAGUUUUCAUAGUUUUUGUAUUUUUGUUGAACCUAUGGAGUAAGCAAAGUCAAAGAGAACAGGAAAUCAAAUGGAAUAUUUCUGAAUGCCUUGUUCAGGAGUAUAUCACAGAGUUUGCAUGUUUUAUGCAUGUUUUUAUCAUUUGAUUUGAUCUUUAUGUAAUCUGCACUGAACAGUAUUACGUGUAUUAUUUAUAUUAUAAACUGUAUUUUUUGCCAAAUUUCCCGUAAGUAUUCCCUGAUCCAACCUGUGCAGUGUUUCAGACCAAUAAACGCUUUCAAAGGGAU